CCUACGGGUGGCAGCAGUGAGGAAUAUUGGUCAAUGGGCGGGAGCCUGAACCAGCCAAGUCGCGUGAGGGAAGACGGUCCUAUGGAUUGUAAACCUCUUUAGGCGGGGAGCAAUGCCGGGCACGUGUGCCCGGAGGGAGAGUACCCGCAGAAUAAGCAUCGGCUAACUCCGUGCCAGCAGCCGCGGUAAUACGGAGGAUGCGAGCGUUAUCCGGAUUUAUUGGGUUUAAAGGGUGCGUAGGCGGAUUUUUAAGUCAGCGGUAAAAGGUCCGGGCUCAACCCGGGCCGGCCGUUGAAACUGGGGAUCUUGAGUGGGCGAGAGGUAUGCGGAAUGCGUGGUGUAGCGGUGAAAUGCAUAGAUAUCACGCAGAACUCCGAUUGCGAAGGCAGCAUCCCGGCGCCCGACUGACGCUGAGGCACGAAAGCGUGGGGAUCGAACAGGAUUAGAUACCCCUGUAGUC
RNAcentral lists this ribosomal RNA (460 nucleotides) under uncultured bacterium. RNAcentral describes it as "partial 16S ribosomal RNA". It matches the Rfam family "Bacterial small subunit ribosomal RNA", at positions 338 to 795 of the family's 1533-position model. The record is from RNAcentral.